AUCAACAGCUGCAAAGGCAAAGGGAUUGGCCUCCUGGGCUGAAAGGGGCCAAAAGGGAGGGCCCUUUGGAGCAGCGUGGCUCUGGGAGGGGUGGAGGUGAGACCCACACUUCUCCUCUGAUGCCUUGCAACUGAUUUCCUCCAGAUGCAAACAGGGCAGCUGAAUGGGGAGAUGGCCUCCCCCAUCAGAGGCAGUUCCCAGCCAGCUUCCUUGGAUGGCCACACAGGAAUCACUCCACACACCAUCCCUGAGAAGCAGAACCACAGGGAAACCUCUUGUCCCUCUGGAAACUCAGGUACAAUCAGUUCAGCACUUGAAGGAAGGACCUCAAAACACUACAGCCCGAAGAAUAAGAGGGUGAAACUGUGGAGGCCUCAGCAUCUUCUAUCUAGAGUGUGCCCAAGCUAUACCCUGGGGCAUCCACCAGCAUCAAGAGCUUCAGGCCAAUGGGAAGCUGGGGGACCUCUUGGUCCCAUUUCCUUGGUAACAUCAGAAAUCUGAAGAACAACUCUCCAGCAAGGCACGGGCUUCAACUGAAGCCCUCUUCCCAAGCCAUACUAAAACAAGCACCAACCCCAGCCGAGGGUACUCCUCUCUGCCCGCACAUCCCUCUUCCAGCCUGCUCCAUAUGCAGCCCCACACAGUGGGGGUUCCUGUUGGGGUUGUGUGCCUGGGGAAAGUGACCUUACCACCCCAAGCCUCCAUUUCCUCAGAAGUCAAACAAGGAUGGGGAUGCUGACUUCCCGGGAAGCCAGCUCACUUUGCUUUCAACUUCCAAGUCCACUGAAAGUUUCCAGUCUCAGGAUUUUAGGAAGAACAAAGAAGAUACUAGACAUUUCUCACAACAGCAUUUUAGGACAGAUUUUUAUGACAUCAGCUCUUUAAGCAUCUCUCUCCAAGGAACACAAAAUUCUCCAACAUAACCUCACCCAGGCCUUACAACAGUCCCCCAGAAUCCAGCAGAGUACAGCAAUUUUUGGUGUUUAUUGGAUUCUUAUUUUUCCUGCCUCGUUUCCGAAAUGGAUUUACAGGCAAAUAUAAUGACCUCUCCAUUGUACAGUCCCCUAGAAGCAGAAGGACAAGGAGCAACCACCCUUGUUGAAGUCUCUGCCUGAGGCUCCUGGCAGAAGGUUUUCCCUCUUCCAUUCCUGGCACACACAGCCCCUGGCAAGUGUUGGUCUCAUCCUGGCAGCCUGGCAUUUCAGAGAGAAGAUUCUAGGCCCCACUUGUCUGACAGCUCGUGGUUUCUGACCCAGGACUGAUGCGGACCAGGAAGGACAGACCCACAUGGGAGUGGCAGUGCAUGCUGGCCCUUCCUCCUGCAGCUCUGGGGUCUGAACUGACCCUCUCAGCCCCAGCCCAUCACCCUCCCUGGCUUUUAGGGAGCUGAUCUUCUGCAGACAUGCCUGGAGCCUGGUGAGGGCAGGACAACUGUCCACCCAAGGAUGGAAAUGAAUGCUGACAGCUCCUGAUUUAUGCCCUUGUUAUCCUGUAAGGAAGACAGCAAGGCAGUUCAAAAGGCCAGCAGCUUUGGGAAGCCCAACAAGGAGCCCCACAGCACCUGGAGCUGCCCACUGGCUCCCCAGCCAAAGCUAGCUAUCUGCUUCCUGGAAAGGCCAAGAUAUCCUCCUCCCAUCCCCAACCCAAAAGGGAGAAGAGUGAAAAGGAAGCAUGUACCUGAGUGCCCAUGAGGGUCAGGUGCCAGUGGACUCCUCCCCACCCAGUGGCGUCUCUCUCAUCAUCCAUCUUUUGCAGGUGAAGAAUCAGACACUUAAAGAGGUUAAGUCGCAUGCCUGAAGUUACACUGGGGAGACCAGGAGCAAACCUGGAUCUGUCUGACCUCAAAGCCCUGCUUCUAAGCAGCCAGGGAGCAGAGGGAUCCACUGCACGGAUGGGGAGGAGGGGCUCUGCCACUCCCAGCCUGGGAAUGAAGUGGAGCCAAUGGCCAGAGCUUCCCUAGGGCUGGGUCAAACCUUCCUGCUCCAGGCAUGAAGAGAAAGGAAAAGACUGCUCCAGGUGGGGGAAGGCUGGUCCAGCUCCUUGUUAAAGAAGAAACAGGAAAAGACAGCAAGAGGGGGAAGUCACAGGGGAACUGACAUUUUGUCAAAAGAUGCUGGGUUUCUCGCUCUCUCCUGCUUUCCAACUUUCCCUGGAUCCCCACUGCCUAAAGGUCUCCACUUUAAGCUCCACCACCCAGCAUCCAGCACUGUCCAGGAUCCAGCCUUUCCUCCCACUUCAGCCACUCUGCCACCAGACUGCCCCUUGUGCCCAGCACCUGGGCUCCAGCCCAUUUCCAAUCUCACCUUUUCCUGCUGUUACCCAUCUCUAUAUUUUGGCUCUUCAGCUCCAGCCUGUCAAAACUCUGCCUAGCUUUCAAAGCCGAGGCAUCUCACCUCCUUAACAAGCCCCCCCCGCCCCCAGUUUCUCCAAGCAACUUUGCCUCCUGUAUGUUCAGAACGGGGCAGCUCAGCAACUAUUACAGCAUCAUUCAGAGCCUUCCAUUGGUCUUCCAUCCGUCAGAGAUGGCCAUGCAUACUUCUGCCUCUAUCCUGAACUCUAGGUUCCUUGAAGCCAGGGCCAUGUAUUUACACAGAGUCCAGUACCUAACAGGCAUUCCAUCAAUGUGUGUUUAUCUAGUAUACAUUGAAUUAAACUAGAAAAUCAAACCAG
This 2670-nucleotide long non-coding RNA is filed under the name Pongo abelii (Sumatran orangutan). RNAcentral describes it as "lincRNA". Lineage: Eukaryota; Metazoa; Chordata; Mammalia; Primates; Hominidae. The record is from RNAcentral.